GAAACAGUGGCUAAGACUGGAUAGGAAGAUAAAAGGCAUCUUGUAUCUUUUAAAAGACCUAGUUAAUAGGUAUGCUUUAGGAGGGGCUUGCGCCAUAUUAGUUAGUUGGUAGGGUAAUGGCCUACCAAGACGAUGAUGUGUAGCUGGACUGAGAGGUUGAACAGCCACAUUGGGACUGAGACACGGCCCAAACUCCUACGGGAGGCAGCAGUAGGGAAUUUUCGGCAAUGGAGGAAACUCUGACCGAGCAACGCCGCGUGAAUGACGAAGUACUUCGGUAUGUAAAGUUCUUUUAUCGAGGAAGAAAAGCAAAUGGCGAACCAUUUGUUUGCCGGUACUUGAUGAAUAAGCCCCGGCUAAUUAUGUGCCAGCAGCCGCGGUAAGACAUAAGGGGCAAGUGUUAUCCGGAAUUAUUGGGCGUAAAGGGUGCGUAGGCGGUCUAGUAAGUCAGUGGUGUAAUGUCAACGCUUAACGUUGUCCGGCUAUUGAAACUGCUAAACUUGAGUUAGAUAGAGGCGAGUGGAAUUCCAUGUGUAGCGGUAAAAUGCGUAAAUAUAUGGAGGAACACCAGAGGCGUAGGCGGCUCGCUGGGUCUUAACUGACGCUGAGGCACGAAAGCGUGGGGAGCGAACAGGAUUAGAUACCCUGGUAGUCCACGCCGUAAACGAUGAGUACUAAGUGUCGGGUUAAACCGGUACUGAAGUUAACACAUUAAGUACUCCGCCUGAGUAGUACGUACGCAAGUAUGAAACUUAAAGGAAUUGACGGGACUCCGCACAAGCGGUGGAUCAUGUUGUUUAAUUCGAAGAUACCCGAAAAACCUUACCAGGUCUUGACAUGUUUUUGCAAAAUGAUAGUAAUAUCGUGGAGGUUACCAGAAACACAGGUGGUGCAUGGUUGUCGUCAGCUCGUGUCGUGAGAUGUUAGGUUAAGUCCUAAAACGAGCGAAACCCUUAUCGUUAGUUGCCAGCACGUUAUGGUGGGGACUUUAACGAGACUGCCAAUGAUAAAUUGGAGGAAGGUGAGGAUCACGUCAAAUCAGCAUGCCCCUUAUGACCUGGGCUACAAACGUGAUACAAUGGCUGUUACAAAGGGUAGCUGAAACGCAAGUUCUUGGCCAAUCCCCAAAAACAGUCCCAGUCCGGAUUGAAGUCUGCAACUCGACUUCAUGAAGUUGGAAUCGCUAGUAAUCGCGAAUCAGCAUGUCGCGGUGAAUACGUUCUCGGGGUUUGUACACACCGCCCGUCA
This 1248-nucleotide ribosomal RNA is filed under the name Tomato big bud phytoplasma. Its description in RNAcentral is "bacterial SSU rRNA". It matches the Rfam family "Bacterial small subunit ribosomal RNA", at positions 153 to 1399 of the family's 1533-position model. Lineage: Bacteria; Bacillati; Mycoplasmatota; Mollicutes; Acholeplasmatales; Acholeplasmataceae. The record is from RNAcentral.